Molecule: ribosomal RNA, 467 nt
Filed under: uncultured bacterium
Lineage: Bacteria
Description: bacterial SSU rRNA
Rfam family: Bacterial small subunit ribosomal RNA
Source: RNAcentral
AUUGAACGCUGGCGGCAUGCCUUACACAUGCAAGUCGAACGGCAGCACGGGAGCAAUCCUGGUGGCGAGUGGCGAACGGGUGAGUAAUAUAUCGGAACGUGCCCAGUCGUGGGGAUAACGUAGCGAAAGCUACGCUAAUACCGCAUACGAUCUAUGGAUAAAAGCGGGGGAUCGCAAGACCUCGCGCGAUUGGAGCGGCCGAUAUCAGAUUAGGUAGUUGGUGAGGUAAAGGCUCACCAAGCCGACGAUCUGUAGCUGGUCUGAGAGGACGACCAGCCACACUGGAACUGAGACACGGUCCAGACUCCUACGGGAGGCAGCAGUGGGAAUUUUGGACAAUGGACGCAAGUCUGAUCCAGCCAUUCCGCGUGCAGGAUGAAGGCCCUCGGGUUGUAAACUGCUUUUGUACGGAACGAAACGGUGAGGCUCUAAUACAGUUUGCUAAUGACGGUACCGUAAGAAUAAGC